CUCCGGUUGAUCCCGCCGGACCCGACUGCUAUCAGAGUGGGACUAAGCCAUGCGAGUCAACAUAGCAAUAUGUGGCAUACGGCUCAGUAACACGUAGUCAACAUGCCCAGGGGACGUGGAUAACCUCGGGAAACUGAGGAUAAACCGCGAUAGGUCAUCACUUCUGGAAUGGGUAAUGACUUAAAUCUAUAUGGCCCCUGGAUUGGACUGCGGCCGAUCAGGCUGUUGGUGAGGUAAUGGCCCACCAAACCUGUAACCGGUACGGGCUCUGAGAGGAGGAGCCCGGAGAUGGGCACUGAGACAAGGGCCCAGGCCCUAUGGGGCGCAGCAGGCGCGAAACCUCUGCAAUAGGCGAAAGCUUGACAGGGUUACUCUGAGUGAUUUCCGUUAAGGAGAUCUUUUGGCACCUCUAAAAAUGGUGCAGAAUAAGGGGUGGGCAAGUCUGGUGUCAGCCGCCGCGGUAAUACCAGCACCCCGAGUGGUCGGGACGUUUAUUGGGCCUAAAGCAUCCGUAGCCGGUUCUACAAGUCUUCCGUUAAAUCCACCUGCUUAACAGAUGGGCUGCGGAAGAUACUAUAGAGCUAGGAGGCGGGAGAGGCAAGCGGUACUCGAUGGGUAGGGGUAAAAUCCGUUGAUCCAUUGAAGACCACCAGUGGCGAAGGCGGCUUGCCAGAACGCGCUCGACGGUGAGGGAUGAAAGCUGGGGGAGCAAACCGGAUUAGAUACCCGGGUAGUCCCAGCUGUAAACGAUGCAGACUCGGUGAUGAGUUGGCUUAUUGCUAACUCAGUGCCGCAGGGAAGCCGUUAAGUUUGCCGCCUGGGGAGUACGGUCGCAAGACUGAAACUUAAAGGAAUUGGGGGGGGAACA
This 868-nucleotide ribosomal RNA is filed under the name uncultured archaeon. Its description in RNAcentral is "bacterial SSU rRNA". It matches the Rfam family "Archaeal small subunit ribosomal RNA", at positions 1 to 878 of the family's 1478-position model. The record is from RNAcentral.